GAGCCAAAAGGAAAGAAGAUUAGUACUCACCUUGACAAGGAUGGAAGAGGCUCCCUUGGGCCUAACAACACACAUAUGGUUAAGGCAUUGCCACUCACUUCUAAACAUUAUUAAAAGAGUCAAUAGCCAAGACUUCUG
Molecule: small nuclear RNA, 138 nt
Organism: Mesocricetus auratus (golden hamster)
Lineage: Eukaryota; Metazoa; Chordata; Mammalia; Rodentia; Cricetidae
Source: Ensembl